Molecule: long non-coding RNA, 467 nt
Organism: Phlebotomus argentipes
Lineage: Eukaryota; Metazoa; Arthropoda; Insecta; Diptera; Psychodidae
Exons: 2
Source: RefSeq, a predicted model, not a curated record
CGAAAGAAUUAAAGUGCACAACGACAAAGUUUUCUGCAAACGCAUCACGACUGUUUUCUGUACUUUUCCAGAGCAGGAAAAUAUUGUUACAUCACGACAAUUUGAGUAUAAAUACUCGGGAGUUUUCCUCAAUUGGCAUAGUCAGUUUGAGAAGUCAACUGAAGCAAUCCAAAUCAAUCCAAAAUGAUGAAGUUCCUGUUCUUCGCCCUCCUCGUCGUCCUGGCCGUUGCCACCGCCUUCGCUGCUCCUGAGCCAGCUCCCCGUCCCUUCGCCGCCCCUCUGCCAGCUCCCCAGCACGGAUAUGGCUAUGGCGGUUAUGGAUACGGCAAGGGUUAUGGAUACUACUAAGCUAAUGACUCCCAAGGAUUCAAUCGGCGCGGUGAUCUUCAGAAUUGCAGUUUUGUCGGCGAAAAUUAUCUUCUUGAAGGUUUCAAUGGCAAAAUAAAUCAAAAUUUGCAUUAAAUUAA